AUUGAACGCUGGCGGCAGGCUUAACACAUGCAAGUCGGGCGGGGUGAUGGUGCUUGCACUAUCACUUAGCGGCGGACGGGUGAGUAAUGCUUAGGAAUCUGCCUAUUAGUGGGGGACAACAUCUCGAAAGGGAUGCUAAUACCGCAUACGUCCUACGGGAGAAAGCAGGGGAUCACUUGUGACCUUGCGCUAAUAGAUGAGCCUAAGUCGGAUUAGCUAGUUGGUGGGGUAAAGGCCUACCAAGGCGACGAUCUGUAGCGGGUCUGAGAGGAUGAUCCGCCACACUGGGACUGAGACACGGCCCAGACUCCUACGGGAGGCAGCAGUGGGGAAUAUUGGACAAUGGGGGGAACCCUGAUCCAGCCAUGCUGCGUGUGUGAAGAAGGCCUUAUGGUUGUAAAGCACUUUAAGCGAGGAGGAGGCUCUUUUGGUUAAUACCCAAGAUGAGUGGACGUUACUCGCAGAAUAAGCACCGGCUAACUCUGUGCCAGCAGCCGCGGUAA
Molecule: ribosomal RNA, 503 nt
Filed under: uncultured bacterium
Lineage: Bacteria
Description: partial 16S ribosomal RNA
Rfam family: Bacterial small subunit ribosomal RNA
Source: RNAcentral